Molecule: ribosomal RNA, 482 nt
Filed under: uncultured bacterium
Lineage: Bacteria
Description: partial 16S ribosomal RNA
Rfam family: Bacterial small subunit ribosomal RNA
Source: RNAcentral
AUUGAACGCUGGCGGCAUGCUUUACACAUGCAAGUCGAACGGUAACAGGCCGCAAGGUGCUGACGAGUGGCGAACGGGUGAGUAAUGCAUCGGAACGUGCCCAGCCGUGGGGGAUAACUACUCGAAAGAGUAGCUAAUACCGCAUACGAUCUAUGGAUGAAAGCGGGGGACCGUAAGGCCUCGCGCGAUUGGAGCGGCCGAUGUCAGAUUAGGUAGUUGGUGGGGUAAAGGCUCACCAAGCCAACGAUCUGUAGCUGGUCUGAGAGGACGGCCAGCCACACUGGGACUGAGACACGGCCCAGACUCCUACGGGAGGCAGCAGUGGGGAAUUUUGGACAAUGGGCGCAAGCCUGAUCCAGCAAUGCCGCGUGCAGGAAGUAGGCCUUCGGGUUGUAAACUGCUUUUGUACGGAACGAAACGGCUCUGGUUAAUACCCGGGGCUAAUGACGGUACCGUAAGAAUAAGCACCGGCUAACUACGUG